AGUGAACGCUGGCGGUAGGCCUAACACAUGCAAGUCGAACGGCAGCACAGGAGAGCUUGCUCUCUGGGUGGCGAGUGGCGGACGGGUGAGGAAUACAUCGGAAUCUACUUUUUCGUGGGGGAUAACGUAGGGAAACUUACGCUAAUACCGCAUACGACCUACGGGUGAAAGCAGGGGAUCUUCGGACCUUGCGCGAUUGAAUGAGCCGAUGUCGGAUUAGCUAGUUGGCGGGGUAAAGGCCCACCAAGGCGACGAUCCGUAGCUGGUCUGAGAGGAUGAUCAGCCACACUGGAACUGAGACACGGUCCAGACUCCUACGGGAGGCAGCAGUGGGGUAUAUUGGACAAUGGGCGCAAGCCUGAUCCAGCCAUACCGCGUGGGUGAGGAAGGCCUUCGGGUUGUAAAGCCCUUUUGUUGGGAAAGAAAUCCAGCUGGUUAAUACCCGGUUGGGAUGACGGUACCCAAAGAAUAAGCACCGGCUAACUUCGUGCCAGCCGCCGCAGUAA
Molecule: ribosomal RNA, 506 nt
Filed under: uncultured bacterium
Lineage: Bacteria
Description: partial 16S ribosomal RNA
Rfam family: Bacterial small subunit ribosomal RNA
Source: RNAcentral